GCGCUUGUCUCAGCAGCACAUAUACUGAUGAUGGCAUGAUAUAGACAAGACGGACAUAGCCCUGCACUAGGGUGACAUGUAAAUUUGUGAAGCGUCUCGUAUUUAG
Molecule: small nuclear RNA, 106 nt
Filed under: Vicugna pacos (alpaca)
Lineage: Eukaryota; Metazoa; Chordata; Mammalia; Artiodactyla; Camelidae
Source: RNAcentral